GACGAACGCGGCGGCGUGCGUAAUACAUGCAAGUAGAACGCUGAAGAGAGGAGCUUGCUCUUCUUGGAAGAGUUGCGAACGGGUGAGUAACGCGUAGGUAACCUGCCUUGUAGCGGGGGAUAACUAUUGGAAACGAUAGCUAAUACCGCAUAACAAUGGGUGACCCAUGUCAUUCAUUUAAAAGGGGCAACUGCUCCACUACAAGAUGGACCUGCGUUGUAUUAGCUAGUAGGUGAGGUAACGGCUCACCUAGGCGACGAUACAUAGCCGACCUGAGAGGGUGAUCGGCCACACUGGGACUGAGACACGGCCCAGACUCCUACGGGAGGCAGCAGUAGGGAAUCUUCGGCAAUGGGGGCAACCCUGACCGAGCAACGCCGCGUGAGUGAAGAAGGUUUUCGGAUCGUAAAGCUCUGUUGUAAGUCAAGAACGAGUGUGAGAGUGGAAAGUUCACACUGUGACGGUAGCUUACCAGAAAGGGACGGCUAACUACGUGCCAGCAGCCGCGGUAAUACGUAGGUCCCGAGCGUUGUCCGGAUUUAUUGGGCGUAAAGCGAGCGCAGGCGGUUUGAUAAGUCUGAAGUUAAAGGCUGUGGCUCAACCAUAGUUUGCUUUGGAAACUGUCAAACUUGAGUGCAGAAGGGGAGAGUGGAAUUCCAUGUGUAGCGGUGAAAUGCGUAGAUAUAUGGAGGAACACCGGUGGCGAAAGCGGCUCUCUGGUCUGUAACUGACGCUGAGGCUCGAAAGCGUGGGGAGCGAACAGG
Molecule: ribosomal RNA, 764 nt
Filed under: uncultured Streptococcus sp.
Lineage: Bacteria; Bacillati; Bacillota; Bacilli; Lactobacillales; Streptococcaceae
Description: bacterial SSU rRNA
Rfam family: Bacterial small subunit ribosomal RNA
Source: RNAcentral